Non-coding RNA from Drosophila melanogaster (fruit fly), 637 nucleotides. The record is from Ensembl. Lineage: Eukaryota; Metazoa; Arthropoda; Insecta; Diptera; Drosophilidae.
GCAGGCGACUUGGAACCAAACUCAAUCGAAAACUCUGGGCUCAAACUCGACGACUGCACGCAGUGUGGUCGGGGCAGCUAACAAAUGUUGUUAACAAUUUCAUGCUGGCAAUAGCAACAGCAACAGCAACAGCAACGACAACUACAACGACAGCAACAGCAACAGCAACAACAACUCGAACAACUGUCAAUGCGCAUGAAAUAGAAACAUUGGCAAGCUGCGAGCCCUGGCACAGUCCAAAUCCACAUCCAUAUCCACAAUCCGAUGCAGCUGCGUCAGUGAGGAAAUGCACAAAAGGCCGAGACAGACAAGCUGGCCCAGACACACUGACAGUCAGUCCGGAUCGCUUUGAACUGGGCCUGCACUGGGAGAAAUCAGCGAGCGAAGGAUGAGAACUAAGUAACUCCUAUAUCAUACUUAUUUGUAAAUUCCAUCUGAGAGUCUUUCGAUUUGAUUAAGCUCCUUCCUCUUCUCUCCAUAUUUUAUUAUUCCUUUAUAAAUGGUAUAUGUAUGUUCCUAAGUUACCACCUUUUUCUGCCAGUGUACCAUUGGGCCUGGUUCUCCGCUUGUCUCCCGAAAUGCAAUUGAAAAAUUGUGAGUUGUACAAUAAAUUCCUUCUGUGUGGGAUUGCGAAACA